Molecule: ribosomal RNA, 690 nt
Filed under: uncultured Acidobacteriota bacterium
Lineage: Bacteria; Pseudomonadati; Acidobacteriota
Description: bacterial SSU rRNA
Rfam family: Bacterial small subunit ribosomal RNA
Source: RNAcentral
GAUCCUGGCUCAGAAUCAACGCUGGCGGCGUGCCUAACACAUGCAAGUCGCACGAGAAAGUGGAGCAAUCCAUGAGUAAAGUGGCGCACGGGUGAGUAACACGUGAAUGAUCUACCUCCGAGUGGGGAAUAACUGAGAGAAAUCUUAGCUAAUACCGCAUAACACUUACGAGUCAAAGCAGCAAUGCGCUUGGAGAGGAGUUCGCGGCCGAUUAGUUAGUUGGCGGGGUAAUGGCCCACCAAGACGAUGAUCGGUAUCCGGCCUGAGAGGGCGCACGGACACACUGGAACUGAAACACGGUCCAGACUCCUACGGGAGGCAGCAGUGGGGAAUUUUGCGCAAUGGGGGAAACCCUGACGCAGCAACGCCGCGUGGAGGAUGAAAUCCCUUGGGAUGUAAACUCCUUUCGAUAGGGAAGAUAAUGACGGUACCUAUAGAAGAAGCCCCGGCUAACUUCGUGCCAGCAGCCGCGGUAAUACGAGGGGGGCAAGCGUUGUUCGGAAUUAUUGGGCGUAAAGGGUGCGUAGGCGGUUUGACAAGUCUGAUGUGAAAUCUAUGGGCUCAACCCAUAGUCUGCAUUAGAAACUGUCGGGCUUGAGUAUGGGAGAGGUGAGUGGAAUUUCCGGUGUAGCGGUGAAAUGCGUAGAUAUCGGAAGGAACACCUGUGGCGAAAGCGGCUCACUGGACCAU